RNAcentral lists this long non-coding RNA (362 nucleotides) under Ananas comosus (pineapple). RNAcentral's name for it is "long non-coding RNA (ACOM_LNC037822)". The record is from RNAcentral. Lineage: Eukaryota; Viridiplantae; Streptophyta; Magnoliopsida; Poales; Bromeliaceae.
UUAUCUUAUGCAACCUACCACUACAUAUGCAUGCAUCAAUAGUAAACAUGACUCUUAGACAUAGAGGCGAUCUAGUCGCUUCGGUAAACACAACCCACCUCGAUUCGCUCUCCGAUUGCUUGUAGUCACUUGCAAUUGGCCUCCCGCGACACCCGUAUCCGGCACGGCCCAAUCUUGCAGUUGCGCACCAACCGUGCGCCGAAUCGCGGCUCCGGAAAUUAUAGUCUACGGUUUGCCGCCACUGUGCUCCAAAUCCGUUUCCAUGAUUUUUAGUCGUCGCCUCGGCCCUCCAGGCGAAAACGAAGCUAAAUAGUCCGUUUCUUCAAUAUCUACGCACCGGCUCGACGAAUCGUCGAACCGAC